This 1799-nucleotide unclassified non-coding RNA is filed under the name Hevea brasiliensis (rubber tree). The record is from RNAcentral. Lineage: Eukaryota; Viridiplantae; Streptophyta; Magnoliopsida; Malpighiales; Euphorbiaceae.
CCAGGAUCGAGCAGUAGUCUCAUAUUUGGCUCUGUCCGUCUUGUACAUGUGAGCAAUCUCAGGCACCAAUGGAUCAUCUGGGUUGGGAUCAGUCAGGAGAGAGCAGAUUGACAAAAGAACCUUGGAAAUAGUAAGGGCAGGGCUCCAUUGCUCUUUGAGAAUGUCAAGACAAAUGCUUCCAUUACUGUUGAUGUUGGGAUGGAAAACCUUUGUACGGAAGGAAACCUAUUCAGAUCAUCUUUAAAGUUAGAAGGAAACCAAAACUAAGCAAGAACUUAAAACAUGUUAUUCAAUAAUGCAUCGAUAAACAAUAAGACUACAAGAAAGAUGCAAUGAGCAAGUUAAAAAAUUUUAUGUCUCCCCAGCGUUACUAAGACCUUGCAAAAUCAGGCCCGAGAAAAAUAUACAACAAUAAAAGUUCUAAAACAACAAAUCCACAGAAAUUGCCUAGCAGCGACAUUAUAUACACAAUGUUCAUUCAGAUCCUACACUUCCACACAUUAUAAACUAAGCUAUAGGAAAAGGUAUAGAACUAUUCCCAUUCACUUCACUGUUUACAAUCGUUUGCAUAAUGUCCCAUGCAAAAAUACGAUAGAAAAAGUAUUCAAGCACUGAUAACAAUGCUGAAAUGCUCAUUCAAUCUUUUAUUAGCAAGAGAACAAAAGAACUAGAUAAUUUUAAUAUUUUGUUUAUAAUUUUUAGAAAGGUAGGACAAUCUAAAAAUAUGAAUCACAAGACAAAAGCAGUAUAUUCGUUACCUUGGGUGGCUUGAAAGGAUAAUCAGGAGGAAAGUGAAUUGAUACAAGAAACACACCACCAGCAAAUGGGCUAUCAGCUGGACCCAUGAUUGUUGCUUGCCAGUGGAACAUGUCAUCAGCAACUGGUCCUGUAUACAUGCACGCUUGUAAAAUAAUAAAACAAGCUAAAACAACACAUAUUUUGGGUAAAAUCUAAUUAGUCUCAUCAACUUUCUGGGCAUGACUUAGAGUCUGUUCUAAAGAUUAGAAAUGAAAAUGCUUCUCAAGGUCAUGAAGUAACUAAUCCCACUGAAACCAUGCACUUCUACAAACUGAUCGAUUAUGCCUCCAGAGACCCAAACUAGAAAAAUAAACCCAAUUGACAAUAUCUUUUUAGGUUGAAAAAGAAAAAAAAUGAGGUGGUCAGCAAACAACAGGUGCUCUAAGAAGAACUAAUCAAAUGUAUCAUCAAGGGCUUUCUUAUCACCAUUAUCUUUGUCCUUUCUACACAACUGUUUCUUAUGUCAGCCAUGUACAAUAGUAAUUAAGGCUUAGAUGGCUUUAAUGAGUUAAAACUAAUACAAAGUUUACAAACAUGCAAUCGAUUUUAUCAAAUACAAUCACAAGUGUGAAGUAUGCAUAUAGAUCAAUCUUCAGCAUCAAAUUUCUCCAAAUUUUGGUAAUACAAGACUGAUAACUCUACUCGGCAAUAUUAUUGUAGUAAAGAAACGAACCAGCACUGCAUGAAGCUGGAGGGUCACGCUGCAGGUCCUUCAAUUCCUUGUUAAUCCGCUUUGAAGCCAUCACAAAUUCUCUGUUGAUUAGGGUUCAAUGGCAGGACUAAAUUUGGAGCGCAAAUUUAUUUGGGAUGGCGUAGAGAUAGAACUUUGUGAGUUUAUAUUUGUAAGAGUAAAGCGAAAGAGAGAGAAUCUGUGAGAUGCUUUAGGUGCCUUAAGGCGGUGACUCUUUGCCACGAAUGCAGAUUACUUGGCGCUUUCUUACUUGCUUGUUUUCCUUUCACCUUUGAUAUUCUGUGCCUUCGUUUGGUUCCUUAUUGGGCAC